AGAGUUUGAUCAUGGCUCAGGACGAACGCUGGCGGCAUGCCUAAUACAUGCAAGUCGAGCGGACUUGAAGAGAAGCUUGCUUCUCUGAUGGUUAGCGGCGGACGGGUGAGUAACACGUAGGCAACCUGCCCUCAAGUUUGGGACAACUACCGGAAACGGUAGCUAAUACCGAAUACUUGUUUUCUUCGCCUGAAGGAAACUGGAAAGACGGAGUAAUCUGUCACUUGGGGAUGGGCCUGCGGCGCAUUAGCUAGUUGGUGGGGUAACGGCUCACCAAGGCGACGAUGCGUAGCCGACCUGAGAGGGUGAUCGGCCACACUGGGACUGAGACACGGCCCAGACUCCUACGGGAGGCAGCAGUAGGGAAUCUUCCGCAAUGGGCGAAAGCCUGACGGAGCAAUGCCGCGUGAGUGAUGAAGGUUUUCGGAUCGUAAAGCUCUGUUGCCAGGGAAGAACGCUUGGGAGAGUAACUGCUCUCAAGGUGACGGUACCUGAGAAGAAAGCCCCGGCUAACUACGUGCCAGCAGCCGCGGUAAUACGUAGGGGGCAAGCGUUGUCCGGAAUUAUUGGGCGUAAAGCGCGCGCAGGCGGUCAUUUAAGUCUGGUGUUUAAUCCCGGGGCUCAACCCCGGAUCGCACUGGAAACUGGGUGACUUGAGUGCAGAAGAGGAGAGUGGAAUUCCACGUGUAGCGGUGAAAUGCGUAGAUAUGUGGAGGAAUACCAGUGGCGAAGGCGACUCUCUGGGCUGUAACUGACGCUGAGGCGCGAAAGCGUGGGGAGCAAACAGGAUUAGAUACCCUAGUAGUCC
Molecule: ribosomal RNA, 808 nt
Filed under: uncultured bacterium
Lineage: Bacteria
Description: bacterial SSU rRNA
Rfam family: Bacterial small subunit ribosomal RNA
Source: RNAcentral